Non-coding RNA from Salmo salar (Atlantic salmon), 841 nucleotides. The record is from RefSeq and is a predicted model, not a curated record. Lineage: Eukaryota; Metazoa; Chordata; Actinopteri; Salmoniformes; Salmonidae.
ACAGAAUGGGUGAAUCUCUCCAUCUACCGCUGGCCAUUGAUAGACUACCGGUCAUCAGUGUGGAAGAGACAGUGCAUGACUCCAUCCUUUUAGAAGACUCUUCUGCCACAGACGCGCCUCCGUCCACAAACAGACGCGCCACCGUCCACAGACAGACGCCCCACCGUCCACGGACAGACGCGCCUCCGUCCACAGACACGCCUGCCCCACAUCAAGUGAUUUGUGAGGAUGACAUCAUUGGCAAGCAUACAUCCAUCACUUCAGAAGUCAGUUCAAUAGAUCUGAUUAACUCUCUUGUGCUGCCUGUUGAUCAGUGCCCAUCAAUUGGAGAGGCACAGCAAGCAUCAUUGAAUGGAUCUGCCCUAAAGACAAUGGCGUCUGGAAAUGGAAGUCUCAGCCCACAGUGAGGAGACUCCGGGAUGCUGGCCUUCGAGGCAGAGUUACAAAGAAAGAAAAAUACACAGUUGCAAAGAAAACGAACCUGGCCAAGUAAAUCCAUGCACACAGAUUAAAGGCCAGGCAGAACUCAUCCUAUGGAUAAAGGAGGUUGGCAAUCACAGAUUAAAGGCAGAACUCAUCCUGUGGAUGAAGGAGGAAGUCAACCACUGUUGAUGGUGGUGUAAAAGGGAGGACACAUAUGAGGAGUUUAUUAUCAACAGCCCGAUCUUGAGUCCUACCUGAACCAUAUUCUGAAGAACACCAGCAAGCGUUUUUUCCUUCUCACCACCAGUCUGAGGCCAGGCCACUGCUGGCAGCACUAGAUUACAUCUUCCACAAGGACAGACCAGCCAGGCAGAACACAGAUGGAACCAAGAUCUACUGUCCCAACUCUAUUUGAAGU